CUGGCUCAGGAUGAACGCUAGCGGCAGGCUUAACACAUGCAAGGUCGAGGGGCAACGCGAGUAGCAAUACUUGGCGGCGACCGGCGCAAGGGUGCGUAACGCGUGAGCAACAUGCCCGUAUCAGGGGGAUAAUCCAGGGAAACUUGGUCUAAUACCCCAUAGUAAUUUUGUAAGGCAUCUUAUAAGAUUUAAAGCUUUGGUGGAUACGGAUUGGCUCGCGUGACAUUAGCUGGAUGGUAAGGUAACGGCUUACCAUGGCUAUGAUGUCUAGGGGUUCUGAGAGGAAGGUCCCCCACACUGGAACUGAGACACGGUCCAGACUCCUACGGGAGGCAGCAGUGAGGAAUAUUGGACAAUGGAUGGAAAUCUGAUCCAGCCAUGCCGCGUGAAGGAAGAAGGUCCUAUGGAUUGUAAACUUCUUUUGUAUGGGAGCAAUAAGGCCUACGUGUAGGUUGAUGAGAGUACCAUACGAAUAAGCACCGGCUAACUCCGUGCCAGCAGCGGC
This 505-nucleotide ribosomal RNA is filed under the name uncultured bacterium. RNAcentral describes it as "bacterial SSU rRNA". It matches the Rfam family "Bacterial small subunit ribosomal RNA", at positions 19 to 518 of the family's 1533-position model. The record is from RNAcentral.